AUACCGGGUUUGGCUCUUUCACCUGUGCGCGUAUAGGAUAUUGGUAUCCCAAUUCGGUGAGAUUAAAGAAUGACAUUAUUUCUGCUAGUUCAACACCGACGGUAUAUCCUGAAGAUCACGUGAAGAACAAAAAAUAUUCCUGAAGAGGAAGUCUUGAAAAGCAACCUCUAAAACGCGAAAACUUUUAAUUAGAGACGGGUUUCAUCGAGGAAACGUUGAUUUUGCAUCAAUAAGCGAACAGGUGCAUUGCGUCUAUUUCCGGGAUAUCCUUGGUUACGUGCAUUGUUGUUAUCGUCCCCUGAUGGACGAGGCUGGCAAAUAAGAAAAUAUACUUUCAUAUUUUCAACAUUUUUGUUAUAGUAAUAAAAUAAUUUUUAUUACAAAAUCUGUUUAAAAUUUUUAAAUUUUGUUGAAGUCAGAUUCUAUCAUGUAUAGGAGUUACAUUUUGAUAAUUUUUGGGGGGUAAGACUUUAGUGAACGAGGUUAAUCAUUGAUUUGCUCAUGGAGUCUUCUAGAAUCUGCACAUGAAUUGGGCGUAAGACGAGUGAGAGAAAUCCAUUUUCAUCUAGUAAUCCACAAGCGAAACUUCCGUUUUUCACAUAAAAAUGUCUUCUCUAGGAUCUCUCGCAUUCGAUGAAUAUGGUCGGCCUUUCAUCAUCAUCAGAGAUCAAGAUUCAAAGUCGAGGUUAACUGGGAUCGAAGCACAGAAGUCUCAUAUUCUUGCUGCAAAGACAGUUGCAAACACAUUACGAACUUCAUUAGGCCCAAAUGGCUUGGAUAAAAUGCUUGUCAGCCCCGAUGGUGACGUAACAGUUACUAAUGAUGGUGCCACCAUUUUGGACAAGAUGGAUGUAGACCAUCAAAUAGCCAAGCUCAUGGUUCAACUCGCAAAGUCACAAGAUGAUGAGAUUGGUGACGGUACCACAGGUGUCGUCGUUCUUGCUGGAGCAUUGCUGGAGAAGGCAGAACAGCUCCUUGAUAGAGGUAUCCAUCCAAUCCGCAUCGCCGAUGGCUACGACAUGGCCGCUAGGAUAGCUACUAGGAGAUUAGACGAGAUUGCAGAUGCCUACGAUGUCAGUCCAAACAACCUCGAACCACUCGUCCAGACAGCCAUGACCACUCUGGGAUCAAAAAUCAUCAACCGUUUCCAGAGGAAGAUGGCUGAGAUUGCUGUAAACGCCAUCAUGGCAGUAGCUGACCUUGACAGGAGAGAUGUUGACUUUGAGCUCAUCAAGGUCGACAGCAAGGUUGGAGGCAAGCUAGAAGACACCAUGCUGGUCAAAGGUGUGGUUGUCGACAAGGACUUCAGUCACCCUCAGAUGCCAAAGGUAGUAAAAGAUGCCAAGAUAGCCAUCCUGACCUGUCCCUUUGAACCUCCCAAGCCCAAGACCACACACAAACUUGAUGUCAAAUCGGUGGAAGAUUACAAGAAGCUCAGGGAUUACGAGAAGAAAAAAUUCACAGAGAUGGUGCAACAGGUUAAAGAUACAGGAGCCAACCUUGCUAUCUGUCAGUGGGGCUUUGACGAUGAGGCUAACCAUCUUCUGUUACAAAGAGAGCUACCAGCCGUCCGCUGGGUAGGAGGUCCCGAGAUUGAGCUGAUUGCCAUUGCUACUGGAGGGCGCAUCGUACCCAGGUUUAGCGAGCUGACGGCCGAUAAGCUUGGUAAGGCAGGCAUCGUCAGGGAGAUUGACUUUGGUACCACCAGGGAUAAGAUGUUGGUGAUCGAAGAUUGCCAUAAUUCAAGAGCAGUCACCAUCUUCAUCAGAGGAGGCAAUAAGAUGAUUGUCGAAGAAACAAAGCGCAGUCUUCACGAUGCCCUGUGUGUGAUCAGGAAUCUUGUCAAGAGCGGUAACAUUGUGUAUGGUGGUGGAGCAUCUGAGAUUGCUUGCUCACUAGCAGUCAGCCAACAAGCAGAAUGGGUAUCAACCAUAGAACAGUAUGCCAUGCAUGCCUUUGCCGAAGCCCUGGAGUCUAUCCCGAUGGCCCUGGCAGAGAACAGUGGUCUUCACCCAAUCCGUACUGUGGCUGAUGUCAAAUCAAGACAGCUGAAGGAGAACAACCCAAGAUUGGGCAUUGACUGUAUGGGCAAAGGAACCAAUGACAUGAAGGACCAGCACGUGUUUGAGACGUUGAUCGGUAAGAAGCAACAGAUCAACCUUGCUUCUCAACUUGUCAGGAUGAUCCUCAAGAUAGAUGACAUCAGGGCACCAGGGGGAUAUUAGGAACACAAGUACUUCACAGUAGUAGAAUAUUUAAUUUAUAUGCAAACAGCACUGUGCUCAGUAUAGGAAUGUGUUCAACGUGUAAAGCAGGAGGUAAAGAGUAAAAUGCAUUUGUAGAGCAAGGAAAUCACUCUUCAGACAAUUCCGUAGAUUUACGCCAUCUAUUGGUUGCAGCAGACUGGCCGAAAUUUGCAAUGCCCUCAUAUAUUGCGUAUAUUUAGUGCUGGCCAACGCAGGUCGACCGGAUAUGUGGAAGAGAAAUUUGCUUGCAUAUUUCUUUGUGAAAUUUAGAUUUAGCUGCAACCUAUAGAUGGCGCUCCAUAUAGAGUACCGAAGUGAUCCCUAUUGAAGUCAAUGUAUUAUUGGCCAAUACGGUAUAAGCGAAUUGACGGCGAAUUUAACAACAUGCGAAAAUAUGCUAAUAUGCCAUUGAAAACAUGCUGUGGUGAAAAAGUUUAGAUGUGAGAUAUAUUAGUGAUUCAAAAAGUUAAUUUCUCAAACAAAAUCAGAGCCUAAACUAAACGUAAUUUCAUUAAUAUUUAUAUAUUUAAUGUGAAAAUUCUGGACAGUAAUACAUUGACUUCAAUGAGUUUGUGGGGUUUUUCAGCAAAAUAUGGGAUAAAAAGUGCUGAAAAAGUGAAUCUCAAGAAUAAAAGAAAACCAAAACCCAAGGCAUGAAUUAAACAUAUUGGGUAUCCAAAAGACCAUGUGGGUCAAUUUCCCUUAACCAGUACGGGGAAGUGAUGGCAUCUAUAUUCUAAAUACUCAUCGCAAUAUAUGUAUAAAGCAGUGCGUGAUCCUGUAGAUUUGAUGUGAGUUGUAUUAUGGCAUUUACAAAAUGUUUUUCCAUUAUUGAACACGGAAGAAUCCCAAUUGUGUGUAAAUGUGUAUUUUUUUUUGUAUUGAUGUAAGAAUGAAUAAAAACAAUAGACGAAA
This is an RNA transcript of Lytechinus pictus (painted urchin), 3161 nucleotides long. It is a transcript of the gene named T-complex protein 1 subunit epsilon-like, with no coding region annotated. The transcript is spliced from 12 exons. The record is from RefSeq and is a predicted model, not a curated record. NCBI's taxonomy places the organism in Eukaryota, Metazoa, Echinodermata, Echinoidea, Temnopleuroida, Toxopneustidae.